RNAcentral lists this ribosomal RNA (2925 nucleotides) under Proteus mirabilis. RNAcentral's name for it is "bacterial LSU rRNA". It matches the Rfam family "Bacterial large subunit ribosomal RNA". The record is from RNAcentral. Lineage: Bacteria; Pseudomonadati; Pseudomonadota; Gammaproteobacteria; Enterobacterales; Morganellaceae.
GGGUUGUGAGGUUAAGCGAAUAAGCGUACACGGUGGAUGCCUAGGCAAUCAGAGGCGAUGAAGGACGUGCUAAUCUGCGAAAAGCGUCGGUAAGGUGAUAUGAACCGUUAUACCCGACGAUAUCCGAAUGGGGAAACCCAGUAUCCAAUGGAUACUAUCAUUAACUGAAUCCAUAGGUUAAUGAGGCGAACCGGGAGAACUGAAACAUCUCAGUACCCCGAGGAAAAGAAAUCAACCGAGAUUCCCCUAGUAGCGGCGAGCGAACGGGGAGCAGCCCAGAGUCUUAAUCAAUAGCAGUGUCAGGAGAACGGUCUGGAAAGUCCGGCAGUAAAGGGUGAUAGCCCCGUAUCUGAAGAUGCUGUUAUUGUGAACUCGACGAGUAGGGCGGGACACGUGUUAUCCUGUCUGAAUAUGGGGGGACCAUCCUCCAAGGCUAAAUACUCCUGAUUGACCGAUAGUGAACCAGUACCGUGAGGGAAAGGCGAAAAGAACCCCGGCGAGGGGAGUGAAAAAGAACCUGAAACCGUGUACGUACAAGCAGUAGGAGCCCUCUUUAUGGGGUGACUGCGUACCUUUUGUAUAAUGGGUCAGCGACUUAUAUUCUGUAGCAAGGUUAACCGUAUAGGGGAGCCGUAGGGAAACCGAGUCUUAACUGGGCGAAUGAGUUGCAGGGUAUAGACCCGAAACCCGGUGAUCUAUCCAUGGGCAGGUUGAAGGUUGGGUAACACUAACUGGAGGACCGAACCGACUAAUGUUGAAAAAUUAGCGGAUGACUUGUGGAUGGGGGUGAAAGGCCAAUCAAACCGGGAGAUAGCUGGUUCUCCCCGAAAGCUAUUUAGGUAGCGCCUCGUGAACUCAUCUUCGGGGGUAGAGCACUGUUUCGACUAGGGGGUCAUCCCGACUUACCAACUCGAUGCAAACUGCGAAUACCGAAGAAUGUUAUCACGGGAGACACACGGCGGGUGCUAACGUCCGUCGUGAAGAGGGAAACAACCCAGACCGCCAGCUAAGGUCCCAAAGUCAUGGUUAAGUGGGAAACGAAGUGGGAAGGCUCAGACAGCCAGGAUGUUGGCUUAGAAGCAGCCAUCAUUUAAAGAAAGCGUAAUAGCUCACUGGUCGAGUCGGCCCGCGCGGAAGAUGUAACGGGGCUAAACCAUGCACCGAAGCUGCGGCAGCGAGUUGUUGGGUAGGGGAGCGUUCUGUAAGCCUGCGAAGGUGUACUGUGAGGUAUGCUGGAGGUAUCAGAAGUGCGAAUGCUGACAUAAGUAACGAUAAUGCGGGUGAAAAACCCGCACGCCGGAAGACCAAGGGUUCCUGUCCAACGUUAAUCGGGGCAGGGUGAGUCGACCCCUAAGGCGAGGCUGAAAAGCGUAGUCGAUGGGAAACGGGUUAAUAUUCCCGUACUGGUGGUAACUGCGAUGGGGGAACGGAGAAGGCUAGGUUGUCCGGGCGACGGUCGUCCCGGUUCAAGCAGGUAGGCAGAGUGAUUAGGCAAAUCCGGUCACUUAAUGCUGAGAUGUGAUGACGAACCACCAAGGUGGUGAAGCAAUUGAUGCCCCGCUUCCAGGAAAAGCCUCUAAGCUUCAGGUUACCAACAAUCGUACCCCAAACCGACACAGGUGGUCAGGUAGAGAAUACUCAGGCGCUUGAGAGAACUCGGGUGAAGGAACUAGGCAAAAUGGUGCCGUAACUUCGGGAGAAGGCACGCUGGCGGUAGGUAAAGUCCCUCGCGGACGGCGCUGAAGCCAGUCGAAGAUACCAGCUGGCUGCAACUGUUUAUUAAAAACACAGCACUGUGCAAACACGAAAGUGGACGUAUACGGUGUGACGCCUGCCCGGUGCUGGAAGGUUAAUUGAUGGGGUCAGCCGUAAGGCGAAGCUCCUGAUCGAAGCCCCAGUAAACGGCGGCCGUAACUAUAACGGUCCUAAGGUAGCGAAAUUCCUUGUCGGGUAAGUUCCGACCUGCACGAAUGGCGUAAUGAUGGCCAGGCUGUCUCCACCCGAGACUCAGUGAAAUUGAACUCGCUGUGAAGAUGCAGUGUACCCGCGGCAAGACGGAAAGACCCCGUGAACCUUUACUAUAGCUUGACACUGAACAUUGAGCCUUGAUGUGUAGGAUAGGUGGGAGGCUUUGAAGUGUGGACGCCAGUCUGCAUGGAGCCAACCUUGAAAUACCACCCUUUAACGUUUGAUGUUCUAACCUAGGCCCAUAAACUGGGUCGGGGACCGUGUCUGGUGGGUAGUUUGACUGGGGCGGUCUCCUCCUAAAGAGUAACGGAGGAGCACGAAGGUUGGCUAAGCAUGGUCGGACAUCAUGCGGUUAGUGCAAAGGCAUAAGCCAGCUUGACUGCGAGAGUGACGGCUCGAGCAGGUACGAAAGUAGGUCUUAGUGAUCCGGUGGUUCUGAAUGGAAGGGCCAUCGCUCAACGGAUAAAAGGUACUCCGGGGAUAACAGGCUGAUACCGCCCAAGAGUUCAUAUCGACGGCGGUGUUUGGCACCUCGAUGUCGGCUCAUCACAUCCUGGGGCUGAAGUAGGUCCCAAGGGUAUGGCUGUUCGCCAUUUAAAGUGGUACGCGAGCUGGGUUUAGAACGUCGUGAGACAGUUCGGUCCCUAUCUGCCGUGGGCGUUGGAAGAUUGAGAGGGGUUGCUCCUAGUACGAGAGGACCGGAGUGAACGCACCACUGGUGUUCGGGUUGUCAUGCCAAUGGCAUUGCCCGGUAGCUAAGUGCGGAAGAGAUAACCGCUGAAAGCAUCUAAGCGGGAAACUUGCCUCGAGAUGAGUCUUCCCUGUCACUUUAAGUGACCUAAAGGAACGUUUAAGACUAAGACGUUGAUAGGCUGGGUGUGUAAGCGUAGCGAUACGUUGAGCUAACCAGUACUAAUGAACCGUGAGGCUUAACCUGACAACACCGAAAGUGUUUUG